Malaclemys terrapin pileata is the source of this 395-nucleotide long non-coding RNA. RefSeq lists it as uncharacterized. The transcript is spliced from 3 exons. The record is from RefSeq and is a predicted model, not a curated record. NCBI's taxonomy places the organism in Eukaryota, Metazoa, Chordata, Testudines, Emydidae.
CAAAUUCCUGUGAUUCUGUGUAGUACUUUUUCCUCAGUUAAAAGUGUCAUGUUGCUGUUCUGUAAUAAUGACAUUUGAUUUGUUUCUCAGUAGCUUCUGAUUUUUCUGAUUCUUCUUGUCCUUGGCACAGUGGCCGGCUGGCUUCUUUCUCCCCUGGAGUUCUGACAGUGUCGGCUGUUGAAAAACAGAGAUUCCAUCAUGAGUGCUAGACUCAUCUAGUCCGGGAACAAGAACAAUAUUGUGAGGCCAAUCUCCACUCCACAGCACAGCUUCAAGAAGGAAGCAUGAAACCUUCUGGGGAUGUAUCUUAGCUUGUUCCCCGUGAGAUGAAAGCAAUCCUUUAAAAAUAUCAGAUACUAUGACUGUUGUUUAUUUUUGUUGGUUUGUUUUUUACA